CUGACAAGCUCUGGGACUGGCAGAUUGUGGGGGGAGCUGCAAGAUGCUGGCCCUUGUUUCUGAAAGCCUGAACCGUAAGAAAACUGAAGAGUGCUCACAACGGAGGGGAAGGGGAGGAGCAGGCUGGCUUGGAAGAGGCCAGAGGGUCCCUCGGAGUGGGCACGGACAGCCUCCCCCUCCUACCUCGGCACCAGCAGUGAUCCUGGAGCCCGGGCCUGGCCAAGGGAGCAGAGAAGUCCAGGGAGGGCUGAGAAUGCGCCCCCACUCCUUAGCCGCCACCCCACCUUUCUGCCGCCUUCUAUGGGCGCCUUGUCAGAGUCUUCCUGUCCUAUGCUCUCUCAUUUGGCUUCUGCCCUUUUGCCUUCCCAGACGCCGCGCGCGUCGAAAUCCCUGGUGACUGCCAGGCUGGACUCACACCCAUCCUGUAAUUGGAUGUUUUUGUUGCGGUGGCAAAACACAUGUGACGUGAAAUCUGCCAUGUGAACCAGCAGUUCGGGGGACAUCAAGUACAUCCUCAUUGCUGAGCAGCCAUCCCACCGUCCACCUGCAGAACUUUCUUUCUCACGUUUCCCAACUGGAACUGCUUCCGUGAAACACUAAUGCCCCAGGCUCACCCCCCGCCUUGUAUUACACAACCUCUGUUCCACUUUCUGUCUCCUCGAACUCGACUACUCCAGGGGCCUCACGGAAGUGGAAUCGUACAGUAUUUGUUCUUGUGUGACUGGUUUAUUUGAGACUUCGCAUAUCGUCUUCAAGAUGCGUUCGUGCGGCAGCAAGAAACCACCCAGAUUCAGAGAAGAGCUAGGAUUCCCCCGGCACUGGUGAGGAUUGUUUCGGCUGCUGGCGGAGGAGACGAGGGGUAAGACGGGACGGCCGACCUGUGGGUCAGCCUCUCUCGCCAACGGGGGUCCCACCAGCUUCCCAGGCCCUUUGUGCCACUGGGCGCCAGAAAGAGCUGGCGUCACUGCAAAGCCCGGCCGUGACUCAUCCACCUCCCCAACUUCGCUCUUAAAAUGCGCUCUCUGGACUUUUCCAGGAAAGCCUGAGUGGCUCAUUGCAGACACCCAUCAUUAACGUGCCUUUCACGCUUCUUAAUUCCCUCCCGGGCUUUAACCAUCAUUGCAAACACGAGCAGGGGAUUCUUCUCAGAGAAAGACAUUCAUCAUGACUGUACCCAACCUCCGUCUCCAAUGCAGGAAUUACGGCAAUCGCCAGUGGGGAAAGGGAGCCAACAGGUAUUUUUAAAGAGGCUCUAUCCACUGGAGGAUCGAAAAGAAAAUAUCCCCUUUGAGCAUUUAGUCACACACAUCAAAGGAAACAACACUUUCAAUCUUCAUUUGCAUCGUACAGGCAUUAGAUGUGGUCCAGUUACACUGAGCUCCGCUUGGAAAGGCAGAAGUGCCAGUCCUUUCCAAGCCUUGACGGAGACAGAGAGAAAAUGCAGCCAGGCAAAUAAUAUAUCACCCUGCCAAGGCAUUUUCCAUUUUUAAAAGGACAGAACAAUUUUACAUUAUUUCUGGAGCCUCUUUGCAGCAAAUAUCCCUUGACAUUUAUUCUAGCACCCUGGCCGGCUGGCCUAAAAGCCUGGCUGCUCUCGGCCUGCUGUUCCUGUGUGCCGGGCACCGCAUUCUGCCUCUUGGGCUUGAAGCUCCAGACGUGAGAAGGGCAAGUGGCCCGGGUUUUUGAGCACAGGCAGGAGGAGGUUGGCUCUGCAGGAGGGGCCUGCGAAGGCUCCAGCCUGGUGGCAAGAUCAUGGCGUUUCAGGUCACUUGAAGGCAGUGAAUGGAGAACCAGCAUUCAGGGCUCAGAGCCUCCGGGUUGAAACCCCACAAGGCAGGGUUGGGGUUUGUCACAGAUAAAACAAUGAAGUGUGCUUGCACUUGAGGGGGAGGCCCCUUGGGGAAGUGGAGAACGGCCACGAGUUCUAGAAUAAUUAGCACCAAAUGACUUCUAGUUAGGGUGACAAAUGAGCACAUUUUCCAGAUCCGGAGAAUCAGGACUGGGCUAUUAGGUGAAAUUUUCCCAACCGUUUUUGUCUUCAAAAAAAAAAAAAAAAACUUUUUUUAACGUGUAUUUAUUUUUGAGAGAGUUGGAGCACAAGUGGGGGUGGGGCAGAGAGAGAGGGAGACACAGAAUCCGAGGCUCCAGGCUCUGAGUUGUUAGCACAGAGCCCGAUGUGGAGUCUGAACUCACGAACCGGCUCAUGACCUGAGCUGAAGUCGGAUGCCCAAACGACUGAGCCACCCAGGCGCCCCUUUUUUUCUUUUUUUAAAAAAUUUUCUUAUGUUUAUUUUUAUUUUUGAGAGAGAGACAGAGUGCAAGUGGGGGAGGGGCAGAGAGAGGAAGACACCAAAUCCAAAGCAGGCUCCAGUCUUUGAGCUGUCAGCACAGAGCCCGAUGCAGGGCUCGAACUCACAAGCUGUGAGAUCGUGACCCGAGCCGAAGUCAGACGCUCCACUGACUGAGCCCCCCAGACGCCCCCAAACUGUUGUUUUCUAAGGUGGUUUGUGGUCCACUCCUUGCCAAGUGUGAGGUCCUUUGUCAGAGGGCGAACUGUGGAUUUUAUUGUUUCGAAUCCUCAGUCCCGGCUGGCCUGAAAAAUCUCAGGGUGCUGAAUGAUUAAUUCCAACCUGCCCUAGAAAACGUUAGUCAGCUGGCAAAAGGAAAUAGCCCAACACGAAGGCAAAAAGAGCAAAUUGACUUUAUCUGUGAGUGAUUAUGUUUGACAAGAUGAAAAAGAAAGAAAUCUUUUGUCACAGAAGAAAAUUGUGCUGUGAGAAAUCUUUGCCCAGGUCUUGAGGCUCUGCUUUACAGUUUGAAUUAAAAUGGAAGUAAUCCCAGCACCGCCCCCCACCCCCAACACCAACAGAGAACAGAGAAACAAAACUUCAUUUUUCUACGUUUACUAUCGCAGAGUUUUAGAAACCACAUCAGGAGUUCCGGGUCUACUCCAGAGCAGCACUUCCAUUAACCAGCAAAAUCUCUUUCGAGAAACCUAUGUUUGAAUUGCUAUUUACUACUAAAAGUUUAAUUUUUCCUCUAA
Molecule: long non-coding RNA, 3043 nt
Organism: Neofelis nebulosa (Clouded leopard)
Lineage: Eukaryota; Metazoa; Chordata; Mammalia; Carnivora; Felidae
Exons: 2
Source: RefSeq, a predicted model, not a curated record